AAAACACGCACACUAAACUGAAGAACUGAAAACCCUUAAGCCGGCCAUCGUUCGUCUCCAGCCACGUGCCACCAUUCGUCUCCACCCACAGUCGUGCGCUCUCCACCUCACCAUUCCUUUCCUGAUUCCUUUCAAUCACACAAAUUUAUAGAAGAAGUGUUAAAGAAGAUAUUUGAAGAACUUGGUGAUGAUGUCUUUUCUAUAUUAGUUGAUGAAUCGAGAGAUAUUUCUAGAAAGGAACAAAUGGCUGUGGUUUUGAGGUAUGUUGAUAAAUUAGGAUUUGUGAAGGAGCAUUUUAUCGGUCUUGUUCAUGUUAAAGAAACAACCGCUUUAUCCAGGGGUGGAUUUUACUUUUGAUGAAAAGACGAUCUUAUUGAUGAACUCGGCCACUACAUUCGUAAUGUGAAAAAAGAUAGUCGAUUUAACAACUUGAAUGGGAUAAGUUAUCUUGCCAAAAAGAUGGUGAAAACAAGAAAACACAUUGAUUAUCAAUUGGUUUAUUGAUUAAUGAAGUUGUCACUAGUUUUACCGGUUGCAAUGGCAAGCGUUGAAAGAAGUUUUUCUUUAAUGAAGCAUGUAAAAACGGAAUUACGUAAUAGGAUGGGUGACGGAUACAUGAACGAUUCUUGCAUUUGCUACGUUGAAAGAGAGUUUUUACAACAAAUUUCUAUCGAGAAUGUAAUGCAACAUUUUCAAAAGAUGAAACCUCGUAGGGAACAACUUUAGCAGGACAUUGAGCUAUAUAUUCUAUAUUUUUGUUGAUACGCGGAAAUUCAGUGAAGUAGUGAUGGAGGCAAAAGCAGCAGGUUACACUGAACCAGACCCUAGAGAUGAUCUUGUUGGGGAACCAGGUGAUAAUCCUUACUAGAGAAUGUGGUCUAAAUCUUGAACUUUCAGAUAUCACUAUUUCAAAGCCUUGUGCCAGAUCCAAUAAAGGUGAGGAGUUUACGUUUAUCCAACCAAGCCUCUGGAAAAACAUAUCUUGUUUAUGAAGAUGAGAGAAAAGGGAUGGUGAUUUGUAGUUUAUUUUAAAAGAAAACUAAUUUUAAAAUAACUAAAAUGAUCAAAAAGCCCUCACAUGCCUUGCAUGUAAGGGGUGUUAACCAGAAAAACAAAUGAAGUUAAUAUGAA
This is a long non-coding RNA of Helianthus annuus (common sunflower), 1131 nucleotides long. RefSeq lists it as uncharacterized. NCBI's taxonomy places the organism in Eukaryota, Viridiplantae, Streptophyta, Magnoliopsida, Asterales, Asteraceae. The record is from RefSeq and is a predicted model, not a curated record. The transcript has 3 exons.